This 353-nucleotide unclassified non-coding RNA is filed under the name soil metagenome. RNAcentral describes it as "partial contains 5.8S ribosomal RNA, internal transcribed spacer 2, and large subunit ribosomal RNA". The stretch from base 1 to 120 matches the Rfam family "5.8S ribosomal RNA", at positions 35 to 154 of the family's 154-position model. The record is from RNAcentral.
GAUGAAGAACGUAGCGAAAUGCGAUAAGUAAUGUGAAUUGCAGAAUUCAGUGAAUCAUCGAAUCUUUGAACGCACAUUGCGCCCGCCAGUAUUCUGGCGGGCAUGCCUGUUCGAGCGUCAUUACAACCCUCAGGCCCCCGGGCCUGGCGUUGGGGAUCGGCGGAAGCCCCCUGCGGGCACAACGCCGUCCCCCAAAUACAGUGGCGGUCCCGCCGCAGCUUCCAUUGCGUAGUAGCUAACACCUCGCAACUGGAGAGCGGCGCGGCCACGCCGUAAAACACCCAACUUCUGAAUGUUGACCUCGAAUCAGGUAGGAAUACCCGCUGAACUUAAGCAUGUCAAUAAGCGGAGGA